Molecule: long non-coding RNA, 1645 nt
Organism: Pogoniulus pusillus (Red-fronted tinkerbird)
Lineage: Eukaryota; Metazoa; Chordata; Aves; Piciformes; Lybiidae
Exons: 10
Source: RefSeq, a predicted model, not a curated record
GCAUCCAAAGCAGCAGGGCCAGCAGGUUGAUGGAGGGGAUUCUGCCUCUCUGCUCCACUCUGGUGAGCUGCCACCUGAAAUGCUGUGUCCAGUUCUUGAGUCCUUAGCACAGGAAAGACAUGGCCAUGAUGGAACAAGUCCAGAGUAGGCCACAGAAAUGAUCAAGUCAGCUGGAACACCUCUGCUGUGAAGAAGGAGUGAGAGAGUUGGAGUUGUUAAGCCUGGAAGACCUUAUUGGGGCUGUCCAGUACUUAAAGGGACUUGUAAGAAAGGGACAGUCCUAGUGUGAAGAGUUUCUUUCCUGCAGCAUGGAUUUUGCAAGCUGAAGCUGUCUCCCACGGCCUGAUCUAAGGAAGAAUCUGGGAGUCCUUUGGUUACCUUUGUUACCUGCACACAGAAGACACAGGAGGAUAAGGAGCAGGAGAGAGGUACUCCCUGUGCAGUGAUCCAGCUUUGUGGUGCAGGUCAAAUCUGUGGACAAGUUGACUCUUCGUGUCUGUAGACAAGAAAUAAACAAGAGCGAACAAGUUGAAUGUGAAAUCAGCUCUGCUGCGGAGUGCAAAGAACCAGUGACUGAGUGAUACUUUGAUGCCAUUAAGGUGUGCCUAUGGAUAUAGAAUAUGCUUUCCAUCAGUGGGUGUGGUGUCAUCUCCUCUGCCAAUGCAAACUGACACUGUACAAGCCCUUAUUCCAGUUCUCUAGGAAUCUCUUUAGACAAGGAACUGGAGAGAGGCCAUGAGGCUGGAAAUGAAGGUACUACAGGAGCGUUAAGUGCUCAGAAAUGACCACUUAAUCUACUGCAGUUGUGAGCGCUAGGAAAGUGCUUAUAUUCAACAAGAAGCUGCCAACAAUGUUAGUGCUCAGCAGAUUUCCUUCUUGUGAGAACUGCAAUAGAUCCACUGAUAAGAGAAUUUAUGCUUGAGCACGUAGCCCUGACUUAAGAGCAGGACAGCUGACCUUCAAAAGUAAAUACGAUUAAAGCUGAACAAAUCAGGUAAUUACAAUAAAAACACGACUUGACAAGCAGCCUCUGGACAGAAUUAGAGUUCUAUACGCAGCCUUCACAUUCAAUUAGGAUGAUGUGAAAUGGUAAAAAUAUUUGUUUUACUUUAGGUUUGUAUUUGUUGGGACACUCCAUUUCGAAACUGUAUUAGAGGUCUCUAGAAGAGGAAAAACAGUCCAACUUGAGUACUGCAUUCUCAUGGCUGUCACUGAAAAGGAUGUUAGCAAGGGAUUACUAGAGUUCCAGAAUUCAGCUUCUGAAUUCUGUUGCCACAUCUGCCACUGAGUCCAGUUUGGGAUUUUCCCAGUGCCUGCCCUCAGCAUCAGUGGUGACAGCAAUGUGAUUGCCAUCAGGGGGCUGCGUUUGGCAUUGGUUUGGAAAGGGGUGCAUAGAGAACAUCUGUCACUUGCCUGGUGGACAGCCCAACUCUAACUCUUGAGAAUAGGACAUCACCAAACCGGGAUCUUCAGAGGACCCAUCCACACAACUCUUGCAAUUUCCACUUGAAUAAAAAUGGAACAGCUUCUAUAGGGAGACAGAUAUACCCAGCACGCCUCUUUGCUUCUCUAACUGUAUGAUACUUAUUAUGACUAUUAUUCUCCUUCUGAAGCUGCAGUCCAUCCAGAAUAGUUUCAGAGACUU